RNAcentral lists this microRNA (21 nucleotides) under Medicago truncatula (barrel medic). Its description in RNAcentral is "mtr-miR2086-3p". Lineage: Eukaryota; Viridiplantae; Streptophyta; Magnoliopsida; Fabales; Fabaceae. The record is from miRBase by way of RNAcentral. RNAcentral also lists the same sequence under 2 other names.
GACAUGAAUGCAGAACUGGAA